GACGAACGCUGGCGGCGUGCUUAACACAUGCAAGUCGAACGGAAAGGCCCUGCUUUUGUGGGGUGCUCGAGUGGCGAACGGGUGAGUAACACGUGAGUAACCUGCCCUUGACUUUGGGAUAACUUCAGGAAACUGGGGCUAAUACCGGAUAGGAGCUCCUGCUGCAUGGUGGGGGUUGGAAAGAUUCGGCGGUGUGGGAUGGACUCGCGGCUUAUCAGCUUGUUGGUGGGGUAGUUGCUUACCAAGGCUUUGACGGAUAGGCGGCCUGAGAGGGUGACCGGCCACAUGGGGACUGAGGUACGGCGCAGACUCCUACGGGAGGCAGCAGUGGGGAAUAUUGCACAGUGGGCGGAAGCCUGAUGCAGCAACGCCGCGUGCGGGAUGACGGCCUUCGGGUUAUGAACCGCUUUCGCCUGUGACGAAGCGUGAGUGACGGUAAUGGGUAAAGAAGCACCGGCUAACUACGUG
Molecule: ribosomal RNA, 468 nt
Filed under: uncultured bacterium
Lineage: Bacteria
Description: partial 16S ribosomal RNA
Rfam family: Bacterial small subunit ribosomal RNA
Source: RNAcentral